Non-coding RNA from Coprinopsis cinerea okayama7#130, 95 nucleotides. The record is from the annotation of a RefSeq genome assembly. Lineage: Eukaryota; Fungi; Basidiomycota; Agaricomycetes; Agaricales; Psathyrellaceae.
GGGCACAUGGUGUAGUUGGUUAUCACAUCCGCUUAGCAUUUCACAGCCCGUGAAUUGGUUGCGGGGGGUGUCCGGUUCAAUUCCGGAUGUGUCCA